RNAcentral lists this non-coding RNA (24 nucleotides) under Arabidopsis thaliana (thale cress). Lineage: Eukaryota; Viridiplantae; Streptophyta; Magnoliopsida; Brassicales; Brassicaceae. The record is from RNAcentral.
AAGAGCAGAUCACAAGAACACACU